AACCUGGUGGGCACCCACUUGGUUUUAAAUAAUUUAAUUUCUUUUAAUAAAAAAAUAAAUAAUACGGUAAAACUCCCUUUAUCUUCCACUUCCACCGUCCAACCCAACAACAACACCUCCUUCUUCUUUCUGUAAUUGGAUUUUGUUAUUCCUUCAAAGCAAAAUCUUCACUGUUGUUCUCUCAUCUCAAUUGCGUGUUUGUCACAGUAUUUUGCUGUUUUUUGUUGUGGCUCUUUUCUUGUUCAUUGUCGUUCCUUUGCCGUCGUCGCCGUCCUUUUCCUUGUUUGAUCCAUUUUCUGUGUAAACAAAUUAUAAUCACUCGUAUGUAGUGUUGGAGCCUGAUAAGGGAGUUCUCGAGGGAUAAAAUUCUAGUUCAUUGUUAUCACCAAAGGUGGGGUGGAGUGAUAGAAAGGAAAUGAGAAAUGUUAUCACCAUUCACCUGGAUUGUUGUUAUAUGAGGAUGAAAACCCAAGAUAUUUCAUGAUGGAAUCCCACCAAUCCAAAUUAGGCAAGGAAGCAUGAUCUUCUUCUUCCACUUCGUGAUUAUUAUUAUGUUGUUGUUGCAGUUGUUCUUGCUGGUUUGAUUUCUUUUCUGGGCUAGUACUACGACAAANNNNNNNNNNNNNNNNNNNNNNNNNNNNUCGUAGGACGGUUAGCAGUGGUGGUGGUGGUUGUUGUCGUUGUCGGGGUUAUUGGGAGUGGGAACAAG
RNAcentral lists this long non-coding RNA (709 nucleotides) under Trifolium pratense (red clover). RNAcentral describes it as "long non-coding RNA (TPRA_LNC012935)". Lineage: Eukaryota; Viridiplantae; Streptophyta; Magnoliopsida; Fabales; Fabaceae. The record is from RNAcentral.